RNAcentral lists this ribosomal RNA (200 nucleotides) under uncultured bacterium. RNAcentral describes it as "partial 16S ribosomal RNA". It matches the Rfam family "Bacterial small subunit ribosomal RNA", at positions 30 to 233 of the family's 1533-position model. The record is from RNAcentral.
AUUGAACGCUGGCGGCAGGCCUAACACAUGCAAGUCGAGCGCGAAGGUUCUUCGGAAUGAGUAAAGCGGCGGACGGGUGAGUAAUACAUGGGAAUCUGCCUGGUAGUGGGGGACAACGUUUCGAAAGGAACGCUAAUACCGCAUACGCCCUACGGGGGAAAGGGGGGAGUCUUCGGACCUCUCGCUAUCAGAUGAGCCCA